This 1978-nucleotide long non-coding RNA is filed under the name Chloebia gouldiae (Gouldian finch). RNAcentral describes it as "Erythrura gouldiae (Gouldian finch) lncRNA (ENSEGOG00005002529.1)". The record is from RNAcentral. Lineage: Eukaryota; Metazoa; Chordata; Aves; Passeriformes; Passeridae.
GCCAGACCAAAAGUUACAUUGGAAAGCAUUUCUUAGUUUAUACCAAAACAAUUAAUUUUUUAAUAUGUAGAGUAAAACCGGGAAGUUAUUCUCACAAAUUUGGUUUAAAAUCUACCUUUCUUUUAGCUUUGAGCAAAAGAAACCUCCACACUGCUGAGAGCACAGUCAGAUUCUUUGGGCUCUCUUCAAAAAGCUCGCUCUUUUUGUCAUUCCUCUCUGACCUCCUCCCUGCUAGUCCCGGGAUGAAAAGCAAGCCAGAGAUCUGCUGAGAAAUGGGCCGAGCCACUGCUGACCUUUGCAAAUCCAAUUUCUUCAAAGCGAGAGCUAAUCGACGUGUUCCCACGCUGUGUAUUGCUGAAACUUACGAUGCAAUUCAAGGAAUGAAUUCACCGUGGUGCAAUCUCAUUUUGAAUCCAGUUUUCUUGUUAUGUGUCAGAGGGUGAAGGAGGCAGAGUGUGGUACAAGUUAUAGAGAGCAGUCACAACCAGGAUUCACAUACUAUGUGCCUGGAGAAUGGCAGAAGGUGCUGCCAUUUGUUUCUCUCUCCACUGGCCAAGCCUUGGCUGAGCACAGCCCUGGGCAGCCCCUGGAUGCAGCGGGAGCAGCGGCAGCGCUCCUCAUCCUGCUGGCGUGCUCCGAGCGCGGCGGGUUUGCACAACGCUGCAACUUCUUGUCUGGGGCAAAAGGGAUACAAGAGGACUCUCGUUCCUCGUUUCACUACUGUGGGGCAUAUGUCAUGGGUAGCAAAUCCCAAAGAGAUGCUUUCAGCAGCCAAAGAGAGCAGUUAUGUCAUUGCCAGCGGGGUUUGGGCUUGGUGUGCCUCUCUUGGGAUAUCAUCUCUGCUGCUGGGAAGUCCUGGCAUGGCAGACACGAUUGGAUUUUCCAGUCUUCUGGACAUCAAAGAUUUUGGAGAAGAGAUUGUAUAAACUGGAUAGCUGCCCUGGGAGAGUUAGCUGGGGGAAUAUCAGUCCAUGUCAAUGGCUGCUGGACCACUGUCAGGAGAAGGGAUCCUGUCUGGAGAGACAGAAGAGAAUCCAUAUCCAGAAAAUCAUCUCUAAUGUGAUUUUAGGCUUUAGGCCUUAAUUAAUUUUAAACUGUUUUUGUUUUUUUAAUUUCAAAAAAAUUUUUAUCUCUUUCAUUCACUAAUUAAGUACUGCUCCAUAUAGUUAAAGCAAAUGACAAAGAAAGAGAGGGAGUUCAUCUAAAAGAGGAACUGAGCUUCUGUUCAACGCUCAGUAUUUUUUUUCUGCAUAACCAGUGGAGAAAUUGGAACAGCUCUGCCAGUUUCAAGACAAAGUUUGAAGUUCAUCUUUAGUGAACAUUUCGAUGUUAAUUAGAAUCAAACUACAAAGCCAAUAACAAAAAUGUGGAGGAAGCUCAAGACUAGCUCAGUAAUUUGCUGCAUGAACAGGGAAGUGAGGUCCUUGAUUUUUCUUUGAAGAAAAAAAAGUUUUCUGUGUGCAGUUCAUAAAAACAGGGAGAGAAAGAGGUGUCUGACUAAUAAUGAAAGGUAUGGUGAAAUCUAGGUUGUAGUCCCUGUUUUACAGACAGCUCUUUCCAUAUGCCAAGGCAGGAGCCAUGCAGGUGAAUGAAUGUAACCCUGUUAUCUCUGGGUCCCUGGGCUUGGUGCAAGCACAUAUGGAAUUAAUGUAAUGGAAUUACAUUUAAUGUUUGUACAGUGGCAAAAACUGGUGUAAACACAGCCUUUUAAAGAUGUGUUAAACAGGACAGUCUCUCUCAUUCAGAAGAGGGGAUCUUCUUGGCAAGUCUAAGAAUCGUCAGGACCUUGUACAAGUGGUAACAACCAUAACAAAUGGUUGCCAAGCUAUGAAAGUUAAUUCAGGUGUGGUAUCUCACAGCCUGUUGUUAUCUUUAAAGUGAGGCUUGUGAGCCUGUGUGCAGGCUUGUGCAGGUAGUGUACCUCAAGUUAAAGCUAUAUUUCAAUAAAUCACAGAAUGAUUUCUGUUGGAAAGGACCU